Molecule: long non-coding RNA, 1396 nt
Organism: Ostrea edulis (European flat oyster)
Lineage: Eukaryota; Metazoa; Mollusca; Bivalvia; Ostreida; Ostreidae
Exons: 3
Source: RefSeq, a predicted model, not a curated record
AAAAAAAGAAUGUGCUACACGGGCAGAUGAAAACAACCCAUGGUCUCGCGCGGAAAUGAGCGAAAUGACAGAGACGUAUCCGGUAGUUAGUAUUUAUCCGGAAUGCUAGUGCGCAAUGGCGGCAAUAAACAAACGAAGCGGAUACGUUGAAGGAAAAACUUCUUUAUUUAUUUCUUACCGUUAUGUAGACCAGUGAAAAUAAUGUACAACGAUUAAUCGCAUAAAUCCCAUGAAGAAUAGAAAACUGAAAGUAGGGCAAACAUAGAUCCCUGGACAUAUCAGAGGUGAGAUCAGUUUAUUUCAGGAAACAAAGCCUGUCUGAAACUCCAAAAUGACAUUUCCAGAAAGCUGAAGAAUGGAUAAAAAUGUAUCUACCAUCUUACAACCCAGAUUUCAUUCCACUGAAAAGAAAAGGGACAGGAAAUUUUGCAUGUCCAUGUCUUGGAAGGUGAAUAGGUGAAAAGUCAAUAGAUGCUUACCAUAUCAGAUGCUUGCAGAGGAUACUGGGGAUAAAGUAGCAGAAAAUUAUGGAAAACAGGAAGUGGCAGCCAGGACUGACAUCAAUGCAAUAAACAAUGAGCUGAGGAGACGGUGAUGGAACUAUAUAGGACACGUGCUAUGGAGGGGAGGUGACAAUGACAGUGAGAUGGCGUUGGGUUGGACACCAGAAGGGAAGAGGGCAUUUAAGAGACCGAAAACAACCUGGAGAGGAACAGUAGAAGCAGAAAGAAAGAUUGCAGAAUGGAGAAACUUGAAUGAGAUCAAGAUGGUAGCAAUAGAACAGAGUGGAUUGGAGAGAGUCUCGGUCCUAUGUGUUUUUGGCAUGGAGAGAACUAAGUAAUGUCUAGAUUGUUGGAGAUAGGAUGACCAGGAAUAUGAAUGGAUGUGCUGGAAACUGUACUAAGACCCUUAUGUAUUUGGAUAGAUUUACAUACCAUCAUGAUUUUGCUAUGAAAAACUUGAAAAAAAUCCUCAACUCAUAUUGUAGCUGACAUUGUACAUUUGUACUUAUUAAUAUUUCAAAUGAACAUAUUUUUAGACAUACAAUAUCUAAACUUUGGAGUCCAUGUACAUCUCCACAUUGGAUAAUAGGUUAUGAUGUAUGUGUGUGAAAUCUUUUCCUAUGGUAUGCACAUGUUAACACAUUAGUUUAAAUGAUGAUGUAUAUCUUAUGACUAUGGAAGAGAUUGUGUUCAGAACAGAAUAUGUGUCUAGAAGAGUUGUUGCCCUUGAAUGUAAUUCAUUAUUUACAUGGGGUUGAAAAAUAAUCCAGCACACAGUAGUACUAAAUGCAUUAUGUUAAAAUACAUUUAUGAAGGGUAUAAGUGAUACUGUCCAUUACUGAUUAAUACACUUUGUGAAAUCAUAUUGUUAUGUUUAAUAAAUUUCAAGGCUG